This 96-nucleotide non-coding RNA is filed under the name Carlito syrichta (Philippine tarsier). Lineage: Eukaryota; Metazoa; Chordata; Mammalia; Primates; Tarsiidae. The record is from RNAcentral.
GGUUGGCCCUAAAGUAGUGGAUUAUCUCAAUUGAUUAUUCACAGUCAGUUACAGGUUGAACUCCUUGUUUUCCUGUUUGCACUUGACUGGUCUAAA